RNAcentral lists this ribosomal RNA (409 nucleotides) under uncultured bacterium. RNAcentral's name for it is "bacterial SSU rRNA". It matches the Rfam family "Bacterial small subunit ribosomal RNA", at positions 64 to 507 of the family's 1533-position model. The record is from RNAcentral.
GAACGAGCUGAGACCUUCGGGUCUCGAUGCUAGUGGCGCACGGGUGAGUAACGCGUGGGAACGUACCCUUUAGUACGGAAUAACCCAGGGAAACUUGGGCUAAUACCGUAUACGCCCUUCGGGGGAAAGAUUUAUCGCUAAAGGAUCGGCCCGCGUCUGAUUAGGUAGUUGGUGAGGUAACGGCUCACCAAGCCGACGAUCAGUAGCUGGUCUGAGAGGAUGAUCAGCCACACUGGGACUGAGACACGGCCCAGACUCCUACGGGAGGCAGCAGUGGGGAAUAUUGGACAAUGGGCGCAAGCCUGAUCCAGCCAUGCCGCGUGAGUGAUGAAGGCCCUAGGGUUGUAAAGCUCUUUCAGCGGGGAAGAUAAUGACGGUACCCGCAGAAGAAGCCCCGGCUAACUUCGUG